RNAcentral lists this ribosomal RNA (498 nucleotides) under uncultured bacterium. RNAcentral's name for it is "bacterial SSU rRNA". It matches the Rfam family "Bacterial small subunit ribosomal RNA", at positions 899 to 1397 of the family's 1533-position model. The record is from RNAcentral.
ACUCAAAUGAAUUGACGGGGGCCCGCACAAGCGGAGGAACAUGUGGUUUAAUUCGAUGAUACGCGAGGAACCUUACCCGGGCUCGAACGGCGGAAGAAUAACAAGGAAACUUGUUAGCCAGCAAUGGCUUCUGUCGAGGUGCUGCAUGGUUGUCGUCAGCUCGUGCCGUGAGGUGUCGGCUUAAGUGCCAUAACGAGCGCAACCCUUACCGUUAGUUACCAUCAGGUCAUGCUGGGGACUCUAGCGGGACUGCCACCGUAAGGUGUGAGGAAGGUGGGGAUGACGUCAAAUCAGCACGGCCCUUACGUCCGGGGCUACACACGUGUUACAAUGGGGGGUACAAAGGGCAGCUACCUAGUGAUAGGAUGCCAAUCUCUAAAACCUCUCCCAGUUCGGAUCGGAGUCUGCAACCCGACUCCGUGAAGCUGGAUUCGCUAGUAAUCGCGCAUCAGCCAUGGCGCGGUGAAUACGUUCCCGGGCCUUGCACACACCGCCCGU